RNAcentral lists this ribosomal RNA (497 nucleotides) under uncultured bacterium. RNAcentral's name for it is "partial 16S ribosomal RNA". It matches the Rfam family "Bacterial small subunit ribosomal RNA", at positions 28 to 507 of the family's 1533-position model. The record is from RNAcentral.
GAUGAACGCUGGCGGCGUGCCUAAUACAUGCCAGUCGAGCGAACAGACGAGGAGCUUGCUCCUCUGACGUUAGCGGCGGACGGGUGAGUAACACGUGGAUAACCUACCUAUAAGACUGGGACAACUUCGGGAAACCGGAGCUAAUACCGGAUAAUAUAUUGAACCGCAUGGUUCAAUAGUGAAAGACGGUUUUGCUGUCACUUAUAGAUGGAUCCGCGCCGCAUUAGCUAGUUGGUAAGGUAACGGCUUACCAAGGCGACGAUGCGUAGCCGACCUGAGAGGGUGAUCGGCCACACUGGAACUGAGACACGGUCCAGACUCCUACGGGAGGCAGCAGUAGGGAAUCUUCCGCAAUGGGCGAAAGCCUGACGGAGCAACGCCGCGUGAGUGAUGAAGGUCUUCGGAUCGUAAAACUCUGUUAUUAGGGAAGAACAAAUGUGUAAGUAACUAUGCACGUCUUGACGGUACCUAAUCAGAAAGCCACGGCUAACUACGUG